Molecule: ribosomal RNA, 550 nt
Filed under: uncultured bacterium
Lineage: Bacteria
Description: bacterial SSU rRNA
Rfam family: Bacterial small subunit ribosomal RNA
Source: RNAcentral
AGUAAAUAGAUACCCCGGUAGUCCACGCCGUAAACGAUGGGCACUAGGUGCUGGGGGGAGCGACCCCUUCAGUGCCGCAGCUAAACGCGAUAAAGUGCCCCGCCUGGGGAGUACGGCCGCAAGGCUGAAACUCAAAGGAAUUGACGGGGGCCCGGCACAAGCGGUGGAGCAUGUGGUUUAAAUUCGAAGCAACGCGAAGAACCUUACCUAGGUUUGACAUGUAGCUGAAAGCCUCUGGAAACAGGGGCCCUUCUUCGGAACAGCUACACAGGUGCUGCAUGGCUGUCGUCAGCUCGUGUCGUGAGAUGUUGGGUUAAGUCCCGCAACGAGCGCAACCCUUGCCCGUGUUACUAACAGGUAAAGCUGAGGACUCUCGGGGGACUGCCGGCGUCAAGCCGGAGGAAGGUGGGGACGACGUCAAGUCAUCAUGGCCCUUACGCCUAGGGCGACACACGUGCUACAAUGGCGAGGACAGAGGGCAGCGAAGCGGCAACGUGAAGCGAAUCCCAGAAACCUCGUCUAAGUUCGGAUUGUGGGCUGCAACUCGCCC